RNAcentral lists this ribosomal RNA (377 nucleotides) under uncultured bacterium. RNAcentral's name for it is "bacterial SSU rRNA". It matches the Rfam family "Bacterial small subunit ribosomal RNA", at positions 523 to 898 of the family's 1533-position model. The record is from RNAcentral.
AUACGUAGGGGGCGAGCGUUGUCCGGAAUUACUGGGCGUAAAGGGUGCGUAGGCGGCCGAUCAAGUCAGAUGUGAAAUACCACGGCUCAACUGUGGGGGUGCAUAUGAAACUGGUUGGCUUGAGUGCAGGAGAGGAAAGUGGAAUUCCUAGUGUAGCGGUGAAAUGCGUAGAGAUUAGGAGGAACACCAGUGGCGAAGGCGACUUUCUGGACUGUAACUGACGCUGAGGCACGAAAGCGUGGGGAGCGAACAGGAUUAGAUACCCUGGUAGUCCACGCCGUAAACGAUGGAUACUAGGUGUAGAGGGUAUCGACCCCCUCUGUGCCGGAGUUAACGCAAUAAGUAUCCCGCCUGGGGAGUACGGCCGCAAGGUUGAA